This 422-nucleotide ribosomal RNA is filed under the name uncultured bacterium. RNAcentral's name for it is "bacterial SSU rRNA". It matches the Rfam family "Bacterial small subunit ribosomal RNA", at positions 17 to 485 of the family's 1533-position model. The record is from RNAcentral.
UCCUGGCUCAGAACGAACGCUGGCGGCAUGCCUAAUACAUGCAAGUCGAACGAACACUUCGGUGUUAGUGGCGCACGGGUGCGUAACGCGUGGGAAUCUACCCUUGGGUUCGGAAUAACAGUGGGAAACUACUGCUAAUACCGGAUGAUGACGAAAGUCCAAAGAUUUAUCGCCCAAGGAUGAGCCCGCGUAGGAUUAGCUUGUUGGUGAGGUAAAAGCUCACCAAGGCGACGAUCCUUAGCUGGUCUGAGAGGAUGAUCAGCCACACUGGGACUGAGACACGGCCCAGACUCCUACGGGAGGCAGCAGUAGGGAAUAUUGGACAAUGGGCGAAAGCCUGAUCCAGCAAUGCCGCGUGAGUGAUGAAGGCCUUAGGGUUGUAAAGCUCUUUUACCCGGGAUGAUAAUGACAGUACCGGGAGA